AUUGGACACAGUGACAUAUUGGACACAGUGACAUGUUGGACACAGUGACAUGUUGGACACAGUGACAUAUUGGACACAGUGACAUGUUGGACACAGUGACAUAUUGGACACAGUAACAUAUUGGACACAGUGACAUGUUGGACACAGUGACAUAUUGGACGCAGUGACAUAUUGGACACAGUAACAUAUUGGAGACAGUGACAUGUUGACCACAGUGACAUGUUGACCACAGUGACAUAUUGGACACAUUGACAUGUUGGACACAGUGACAUAUUGGCCACAGUGGCAUGUUGACCACAGUGACAUAUUGGACACAGUGACAUGUUGGACACAGUGACAUAUUGGCCACAGUGACAUAUUGGACACAGUGACAUGUUGACCACAGUGACAUAUUGGACACAGUGACAUAUUGGACACAGUGACAUAUGUUGGACACAGUGACAUGUUGAUCACAGUGACAUGUUGGACACAGUGACAUGUUGGACACAGUGACAUGUUGGACACAGUGACAUGUUGGACACAUUUACAUGUUGUUCACAUUUACUUGUUGGCCACAGUGACGUAUUGGAGACAUUUAAAUGUUGGACAUAGUGACAUGUUGGACGCAGUGACAUGUUGACCACAGUGACAUAUUGGACACAGUGACAUGUUGGACACAGUGACAUAUUGGCCACAGUGACAUAUUGGACACAGUGGCAUGUUGACCACAGUGGCAUGUUGACCACAGUGACAUAUUGGACACAAUGACAUUUUGGACACAGUGAUAUAUUGGACGCAGUGACAUGUUGACCACAGUGACAUAUUGGACACAGUGACAUGUUGUACACAUUGACAUAUUGGACACAUUAACAUGUUGACCACAGUGGCAUGUUGACCACAGUGACAUAUUGGACACAGUGACAUGUUGGACACAGUGACAUAUUGGCCACAGUGACAUAUUGGAGACAGUGACAUGUUGGACACAGUGACAUGUUGACCACAGUGACAUAUUGGACACAGUGACAUAUUGGGCACAGUGACAUAUUUGCCACAGUGACAUAUUGGAGACAGUGACAUGUUGGACACAGUGACAUGUUGACCACAGUGACAUAUUGGACACAGUGGCAUAUUGGGCACAGUGACAUAUUGGACACAUUUACAUGUUGGACACAUUUACAUGUUGGACACAGUGACAUGUUGGACACAGUGACAUAUUGGACACAUUUACAUGUUGGACACAGUGACAUGUUGGACACAGUGACAUAUUGGACACAUUUACAUAUUGGACACAUUUACAUGUUGGACACAUUUACAUGUUGGACACAGUGACAUGUUGGACACAGUGACAUAUUGGACACAUUUACAUGUUGGACACAGUGACAUGUUGGACACAGUGACAUGUUGGACACAGUGACAUAUUGGACACAGUGACAUAUUGGACACAGUGACAUGUUGACCACAGUGACAUAUUGGACACAGUGACAUAUUGGACACAUUUACAUGUGGUUCACAUUUACUUGUUGGACACAGUGACAUAUUGGACACAUUUACAUGUGGUUCACAUUUACUUGUUGGACACAGUGAUGUAUUGGAGACAUUUACAUGUUGGACAUAGUGACAUGUUGGACGCAGUGACAUGUUGACCACAGUGACAUAUUGUACACAGUGACAUGUUGGACACAGUGACAUGUUGGACACAGUGACAUAUUGGCCACAGUGACAUAUUGGACACAGUGGCAUGUUGACCACAGUGACAUAUUGGACACAAUGACAUUUUGGACACAGUGAUAUAUUGGACGCAGUGACAUGUUGACCACAGUGACAUAUUGGACACAGUGACAUGUUGGACACAUUGACAUAUUGGACACAGUGACAUGUUGACCACAGUGGCAUGUUGACCACAGUGACAUAUUGGACACAGUGACAUGUUGGACACAGUGACAUAUUGGCCACAGUGACAUAUUGGAGACAGUGACAUGUUGGACACAGUGACAUGUUGACCACAGUGACAUAUUGGACACAGUGACAUAUUGGGCACAGUGACAUAUUGGCCACAGUGACAUAUUGGAGACAGUGACAUGUUGGACACAGUGACAUGUUGACCACAGUGACAUAUUGGACACAGUGGCAUAUUGGGCACAGUGACAUAUUGGACACAUUUACAUGUUGGACACAUUUACAUGUUGGACACAGUGACAUGUUGGACACAGUGACAUAUUGGACACAUUUACAUGUUGGACACAGUGACAUGUUGGACACAGUGACAUAUUGGACACAUUUACAUAUUGGACACAUUUACAUGUUGGACACAUUUACAUGUUGGACACAGUGACAUGUUGGACACAGUGACAUAUUGGACACAUUUACAUGUUGGACACAGUGACAUGUUGGACACAGUGACAUGUUGGACACAGUGACAUGUUGGCCACAGUGACGUAUUGGAGACAUUUACAUGUUGGACACAGUGACAUGUUGGACGCAGUGGCAUGUUGACCACAGUGGCAUG
This 2485-nucleotide long non-coding RNA is filed under the name Salmo salar (Atlantic salmon). RNAcentral's name for it is "lncRNA (ENSSSAG00000099629.1)". Lineage: Eukaryota; Metazoa; Chordata; Actinopteri; Salmoniformes; Salmonidae. The record is from RNAcentral.